This 578-nucleotide ribosomal RNA is filed under the name uncultured bacterium. RNAcentral describes it as "bacterial SSU rRNA". It matches the Rfam family "Bacterial small subunit ribosomal RNA", at positions 157 to 770 of the family's 1533-position model. The record is from RNAcentral.
CGACUGCUAAUACCGAAUGUGUCGCAAGAUGAAAGAUUUAUUGCCUAGAGAUGAGCUCGCGUCUGAUUAGCUAGUUGGUGGGGUAAAAGCCUACCAAGGCGACGAUCAGUAGCUGGUCUGAGAGGAUGAUCAGCCACACUGGGACUGAGACACGGCCCAGACUCCUACGGGAGGCAGCAGUGGGGAAUUUUCCGCAAUGGGCGAAAGCCUGACGGAGCAACGUCGCGUGAGGGAGGAAGGCUCUUGGGUUGUAAACCUCUUUUCUCAAGGAAGAUAAUGACGGUACUUGAGGAAUCAGCAUCGGCUAACUCCGUGCCAGCAGCCGCGGUAAUACGGAGGAUGCAAGCGUUAUCCGGAAUAAUUGGGCGUAAAGCGUUCGUAGGUGGUUUUGUAAGUCUGCUGUUAAAGCGUGUAGCUCAACUACAUAUAGGCAGUGGAAACUACAAAACUUGAGUGCGUUCGGGGUAGAGGGAAUUCUUGGUGUAGCGGUGAAAUGCGUAGAGAUCAGGAAGAACACCGGUGGCGAAGGCGCUCUACUAGGCCGCAACUGACACUGAGGGACGAAAGCUAGGGGAGCG